This 1289-nucleotide ribosomal RNA is filed under the name marine metagenome. RNAcentral describes it as "SSU rRNA". It matches the Rfam family "Eukaryotic small subunit ribosomal RNA", at positions 710 to 1823 of the family's 1831-position model. The record is from RNAcentral.
ACUUUGAGUGCUUUUCGCUGGACGACGUCGACGAGGCCUUCGCCAAGUUUCACACGCUCCAGUACUCCCAAACCGCCAACCUCGCUGCCAAGGGCAAGAAGAUCGCCGUGACGCCAUUCAACGCGGGCCACCUUCUCGGAGGCACGGUGUGGCGCAUCAACGUCGACGGCGAGGACAUUCUCAAGGACGACGAACGUGGUUCUGGCCUUAAUUGACUGGGACACGGAGUCGGCAGCGUUACUUUGAGAAAAUUAGAGUGUUCAAAGCAGGCUUUCCGCCUUGAAUAUGUUAGCAUGGAAUAAUAACAUAGGACUUUAGUUCUAUUUGUUGGUUGUUCGAGAACUGGAGUAAUGAUUGAUAGGGACGGUUGGGGGCAUCCGUAUUCUCAAGCGAGAGGUGAAAUUCUUGGACCUUGGGAAGACGAACAGCUGCGAAAGCGUUUGCCUAGGACGUUCUCUUUAAUCAAGAACGAAAGUUGGGGGAUCGAAGACGAUCAGAUACCGUCGUAGUCUCAACUAUAAACUAUGCCAGCUAGGGAUCAGCGGGUCUUUUUACGAGUCCGUUGGCACCUUACGAGAAAUCAAAGCAUUUGGGUUCCGGGGGGAGUAUGGUCGCAAGGCUGAAACUUAAAGGAAUUGACGGAAGGGCACCACAAGUUGUGGAUCCUGUGGCUUAAUUUGACUCAACACGGGAAAACUUACCAGGUCCAGACAUAGUAAGGAUUGACAGAUUGACAGCUCUUUCUUGAUUCUAUGGGUGGUGGUGCAUGGCCGUUCUUAGUUGGUGGAGUGAUUUGUCUGGUUAAUUCCGUUAACGAACGAGACCAUUACCUGCUAAAUAGUCGGCCGGUCCUUUGGGAGCGAACUGACUUCUUAGAGGGACUAGCCAUCUAUUAAGUGGCUGGAAGUUAGUGGCAAUAACAGGUCUGUGAUGCCCUUAGAUGUUCUGGGCCGCGCACGGGCUACACUGACGGAGUAAAUGAGCCUUACUAUCAUGGUCCGGGAGGAUCGUGCAAUCUUGAAACUCCGUCGUGGUUGGAAUCGACGAUUGUAAUUAUUCGUCGUGAACGAGGAAUACCUAGUAAGCGUGCAUCAUUAAUGCACAGUGAAUACGUCCCUGCCCUUUGUACACACCGCCCGUCGCUCCUACCGAUUGGAUGAGCUGGUGAGUUAAUCGGACUGCGCCGUAUGUCGCCUCACGGCGGCUUUCGGCGCGGGAAACUUUGCAAACUAGACUAUCUAGAGGAAGGAGAAGUCGUAACAAGGUUUCCGUAGGUGAACCUGCGGAAG